Long non-coding RNA from Cryptomeria japonica (Japanese cedar), 1738 nucleotides. RefSeq lists it as uncharacterized. NCBI's taxonomy places the organism in Eukaryota, Viridiplantae, Streptophyta, Pinopsida, Cupressales, Cupressaceae. The record is from RefSeq and is a predicted model, not a curated record. The transcript is spliced from 3 exons.
GUGGACAUGUCGAUAUUGAGGUCACCGACAAUGUAGACUAGUGUGUUAAGAUCUACGAAGGUUAGUAUUUGAUCAAUCAUUGUUGUGAUUUGUGUAAUUGGAGUACGUGGCUUUCCAUAUAUAUUACGGAUGUUAAGUUGUGUACCUGAUAAUAUUAUCGUUAGUGUAAUUGCUUCAAUAUCAGUUGAAUGAUGAGGUUUAGAUGUGGAAAUUGGUAAGUUUGUAUUUUUGAAAGUUGAGAUUCCAUGUAUUUUGUACGUUGUAUAGGUGUUAAAAGUGAUUUGUGAGAGGAGUUGUAUGAGAUGGAUGAAUGUAUGUUUCUUGUAGACACAAGAUAUCUGAGGACAUUAACAAGUUGUCAUUGCGGAUGUCUGCUGCAUGUGCUUGUAGGCUACGGGUGUUCAGUGUGCAUAUAACUAGGUGAUGAAAGCUCUUGGAACAAGUUAAUCUGUUGUCAACGUUCCAUUGUGCACUUGUCAGUAGACGCAACAUUUCUAGGUGCACUUAUUUUUAACUUUAAAGUUUGUUGAAGCCAAUGGUCGUAGCAAGUAUAAUUUGUCAAUUGUUUUGGUUUGUGAUAGUGUUGUGUAUGCUAAUCCAUGUUGUUUAAUGCCAGUGGGGUCAAAUGCCAUGGCAUCUAGUGGAAGUUCUUGUGAUCGAUGUAUUGUCCGUGCACAAGAAACUUGAAUUGGAAAUUGUUUCCUUAUUGUAGUAUGGGGUGUGUUAUUUAGUUUGUGGAUUGCUUUAGUUAUACGGAGGGAGUCCAGUCUUUGUGAAUCGUCGGAGUGUGAUAGUGUGCGAGUUUUCUGCGUUGUUGUUUUCCUACUUUUGGAUCAUUGAACUGAAUCCAGAUGAUGUCAAUGUUAUUGUGUUUUGUGUAUAUUUUUGAAAAUGCCACUUGAAGUUCGUGACGUAGCCACAUUUCACCAUGUGGUAGGUCUACAGAUAGAGGUGUCCAGCCACCAAAAGAGAUGCAGGAUAGCAGCCACAUGGAAGCUCUUCUUCUGAAUGCUUGAAGUGGAAUGAAGCCAAAACAGAGUAUUCAGUAACCAUAUAAAUAUUUUUAUUUUGCUUAGCAGAGUAAAUGGGGACUAGCCAAAAUUGCAGGAGUAGAACGAAGUAUUUCCGGAGCUGUAGGAUACGUCAGCGCUCAAAGCGGCAUUCUUCUGUGUUUUUACGUGUGUUGCUUUAUGGGCCAGCGUACCCAAAAACCGAAGUAUUUCUGGAGCUGUAGGAUACGGCAGCGCUCAAAGCGGCAUUCUUCUGUGUUUUUACGUGUGUUGCUUUAUGGGCCAGCGUACCCAAAAACCUAGCUGGUGGCAGGAGGAUUCAAGAGCAUUCAAACAGAUGCUAUUUUCAUCAUCAUACACCACAGAAAAGCAUUCAAACAGAUGCUAUUUUCAUUCAAAGUAUAAGGCAUCACAGUCCAGCACGUAUGAAAAAGACGCGUUUUCCUCGCUCCUGUUCCUACACUUCCAGCAAAUGAAGUGUGUCUGAUGCAGAACUCAACCACAAUACCAGCCACAAAUCGAGAAUGUUCAGAAGUUAUUAACUCGCUCAAGUCGGCAAAAGUCAUUAAAUGACAUUAAAUGUCAUUAAGAGCAUGAACAUUUCCAGAGAUUUCCAAUUCAGCAGUUACACCUCAUUUAUAGACGCUGUCCAAUCACUUGUGUAAAAGUUUCGAAAGACAUCAAUAUCAAUGUCUAAAUUUUUUAAGCAUACAUAUUUUCUCAUUAUU